ACCUGGUUGAUCCUGCCAGUAGUCAUAU
RNAcentral lists this ribosomal RNA (28 nucleotides) under Bromus briziformis (rattlesnake brome). Its description in RNAcentral is "partial 18S ribosomal RNA". Lineage: Eukaryota; Viridiplantae; Streptophyta; Magnoliopsida; Poales; Poaceae. RNAcentral also lists the same sequence under 26 other names. The record is from RNAcentral.